CGGCGGACGGUGAGUAACACGUGGACAACCUACCUAUAAGACUGGGAUAACUUCGGGAAACCGGAGCUAAUACCGGAUAAUAUAUUUAACCGCAUGGUUCAAUGGUGAAAGACGGUUUUGCUGUCACUUAUAGAUGGAUCCGCGCCGCAUUAGCUAGUUGGUAAGGUAACGGCUUACCAAGGCAACGAUGCGUAGCCGACCUGAGAGGGUGAUCGGCCACACUGGAACUGAGAUACGGUCCAGACUCCUACGGGAGGCAGCAGCG
This 265-nucleotide ribosomal RNA is filed under the name uncultured Staphylococcus sp. RNAcentral describes it as "partial 16S ribosomal RNA". It matches the Rfam family "Bacterial small subunit ribosomal RNA", at positions 96 to 356 of the family's 1533-position model. The record is from RNAcentral. Lineage: Bacteria; Bacillati; Bacillota; Bacilli; Caryophanales; Staphylococcaceae.